CCUACGGGAGGAGCAGUGGGGAAUAUUGGACAAUGGGCGAAAGCCUGAUCCAGCCAUGCCGCGUGUGUGAAGAAGGCCUUCGGGUUGUAAAGCACUUUCAGUGGGGAAGAAAGCCUUGGGGCUAAUACCCUCGAGGAAGGACAUCACCCACAGAAGAAGCACCGGCUAACUCCGUGCCAGCAGCCGCGGUAAUACGGAGGGUGCGAGCGUUAAUCGGAAUUACUGGGCGUAAAGCGCGCGUAGGCGGUCUGAUAAGCCGGUUGUGAAAGCCCCGGGCUCAACCUGGGAACGGCAUCCGGAACUGUCAGGCUAGAGUGCAGGAGAGGAAGGUAGAAUUCCCGGUGUAGCGGUGAAAUGCGUAGAGAUCGGGAGGAAUACCAGUGGCGAAGGCGGUCUUCUGGACUGACACUGACGCUGAGGUGCGAAAGCGUGGGUAGCAAACAGGAUUAGAUACCCCAGUAGUC
RNAcentral lists this ribosomal RNA (464 nucleotides) under Vreelandella stevensii. RNAcentral's name for it is "partial 16S ribosomal RNA". It matches the Rfam family "Bacterial small subunit ribosomal RNA", at positions 338 to 795 of the family's 1533-position model. The record is from RNAcentral. Lineage: Bacteria; Pseudomonadati; Pseudomonadota; Gammaproteobacteria; Oceanospirillales; Halomonadaceae.